RNAcentral lists this ribosomal RNA (250 nucleotides) under uncultured archaeon. Its description in RNAcentral is "partial 16S ribosomal RNA". It matches the Rfam family "Bacterial small subunit ribosomal RNA", at positions 524 to 773 of the family's 1533-position model. The record is from RNAcentral.
UACGGAGGGUGCAAGCGUUAUCCGGAUUUAUUGGGUUUAAAGGGUCCGCAGGCGGACUUGUAAGUCAGUGGUGAAAGCCUUCAGCUUAACUGGAGAAUUGCCAUUGAUACUGCUAGUCUUGAGUUCGGUUGAAGUGGGCGGAAUAUGUAGUGUAGCGGUGAAAUGCAUAGAUAUUACAUAGAACACCUAUUGCGAAGGCAGCUCACUAAGCCGAUACUGACGCUCAGGGACGAAAGCGUGGGGAGCGAAC